CACACCACGGAAUGCUGCUUGCACUUGGAGCAGUCACCUGUGUAGCAGGAUACAGUUGCAUCUAACACUGCAGGUGGUCCUGAGGUCGGUUGUCUUCCCUACAUGGAUGGAUGUUGGGAUCUAGCUGACCUCUCCUGUAGUCAGACUUCCAAGCGGACCUGGACCUUUUCGCAUGCUGCUUGUGCUGUUCUGCUAACAACAACAUACUUGUUUUCUUGACAGCAGAAGCUCCAACAUCAACAUCUCAUCCUCCGAUGUCAUUUGAAGUUGAUGGAUCUGGUUUGAACUCAGGAACAUUGAUCGCACCC
This is a long non-coding RNA of Ylistrum balloti, 308 nucleotides long. RefSeq lists it as uncharacterized. The record is from RefSeq and is a predicted model, not a curated record. The transcript has 3 exons. NCBI's taxonomy places the organism in Eukaryota, Metazoa, Mollusca, Bivalvia, Pectinida, Pectinidae.